UACGUAGGGGGCUAGCGUUGUCCGGAUUUAUUGGGCGUAAAGAGCUCGUAGGCGGCUUGUCACGUCGAUUGUGAAAGCCCGGGGCUUAACUCCGGGUCUGCAGUCGAUACGGGCUAGCUAGAGUGUGGUAGGGGAGAUCGGAAUUCCUGGUGUAGCGGUGAAAUGCGCAGAUAUCAGGAGGAACACCGGUGGCGAAGGCGGGUCUCUGGGCCGUAACUGACGCUGAGGAGCGAAAGCGUGGGGAGCGAACAGG
RNAcentral lists this ribosomal RNA (253 nucleotides) under uncultured bacterium. RNAcentral's name for it is "partial 16S ribosomal RNA". It matches the Rfam family "Bacterial small subunit ribosomal RNA", at positions 524 to 776 of the family's 1533-position model. The record is from RNAcentral.